UACACGACCGUACCGCAAACCGACACUGGUGCGCGAGAUGAGUAUUCUAAGGCGCUUGAGAGAACUCAGGAGAAGGAACUCGGCAAAUUGACACCGUAACUUCGGAAGAAGGUGUGCCUUUAGUAGGUGAACCUGUACAAGGGGAGCCCAAUGAGGUUGCAAAAAAUCGGUGGCUGCGACUGUUUAAUAAAAACACAGCACUCUGCAAACACGAAAGUGGACGUAUAGGGUGUGACGCCUGCCCGGUGCUGGAAGAUUAAAUGAUGGGGUGCAAGCUCUUGAUUGAAGUCCCAGUAAACGGCGGCCGUAACGAUAACGGUCCUAAGGUAGCGAAAUUCCUUGUCGGGUAAGUUCCGACCUGCACGAAUGGCGUAACGAUGGCCACACUGUCUCCUCCUGAGACUCAGCGAAGUUGAAAUGUUUGUGAUGAUGCAAUCUCCCCGCGGAAAGACGGAAAGACCCCAUGAACCUUUACUGUAGCUUUGUAUUGGACUUUGAACAGAUCUGUGUAGGAUAGGUGGGAGGCUUUGAAGUGUGGUCGCUAGAUCGCAUGGAGCCAACGUUGAAAUACCACCCUGGUGUGUUUGAGGUUCUAACCUAGGCCCGUAAUCCGGGUCGGGGACAGUGCAUGGUAGGCAGUUUGACUGGGGCGGUCUCCUCCCAAAGCGUAACGGAGGAGUUCGAAGGUACGCUAGGUACGGUCGGACAUCGUGCUAAUAGUGCAAUGGCAUAAGCGUGCUUAACUGCGAGACUGACAAGUCGAGCAGAUGCGAAAGCAGGACAUAGUGAUCCGGUGGUUCUGUAUGGAAGGGCCAUCGCUCAACGGAUAAAAGGUACUCUGGGGAUAACAGGCUGAUACCGCCCAAGAGUUCAUAUCGACGGCGGUGUUUGGCACCUCGAUGUCGGCUCAUCUCAUCCUGGGGCUGUAGCCGGUCCCAAGGGUAUGGCUGUUCGCCAUUUAAAGAGGUACGUGAGCUGGGUUUAAAACGUCGUGAGACAGUUUGGUCCCUAUCUUCCGUGGGCGCUGCAGAUUUGAGGAAGCCUGCUCCUAGUACGAGAGGACCGGAGUGGACACACCUCUGGUGUAUCGGUUGUCACGCCAGUGGCAUUGCCGAGUAGCUAUGUGUGGAAGAGAUAACCGCUGAAAGCAUCUAAGCGGGAAACUCGUUUCAAGAUGAGAUCUGCCGGGGCCUUGAGCCCCCUAAAGAGUCGUUCAAGACCAGGACGUUGAUAGGUCGGGUGUGGAAGCGCAGUAAUGCGUUAAGCUAACCGAUACUAAUUGCUCGUGCGGCUUGAUCAG
Molecule: ribosomal RNA, 1300 nt
Filed under: metagenome
Description: bacterial LSU rRNA
Rfam family: Bacterial large subunit ribosomal RNA
Source: RNAcentral